This 267-nucleotide signal recognition particle RNA is filed under the name Candidatus Latescibacteria bacterium 4484_181. RNAcentral's name for it is "signal recognition particle sRNA large type". It matches the Rfam family "Bacterial large signal recognition particle RNA". Rfam says of the family: The signal recognition particle (SRP) is a universally conserved ribonucleoprotein involved in the co-translational targeting of proteins to membranes. Archaeal SRP consists of a 7S RNA and homologues of the eukaryotic SRP19 and SRP54 proteins. In most bacteria, the SRP consists of a 4.5S RNA and the Ffh protein (a homologue of the eukaryotic SRP54 protein). The record is from RNAcentral. Lineage: Bacteria; Pseudomonadati; Candidatus Latescibacterota. RNAcentral also lists the same sequence under 2 other names.
UCGUGCUAGGCGGGGAGCCAGCGGUGCCCUGUACCCGCAAUCCGCUACAGCGGGGCUUAAUUCCCAACCCUAGGCUCUGUUGUCUCAGGAUAUACCAGCCAUAAGCGGCGUUGAUGGUCAGGUCCUGUGCAACGGAAGGUCGCUAAACCCCGUCAGGACCGGAAGGUAGCAGCGGUAGGCGUUCUCUUGCGUGUGCCGCAGGGCAACCUGACCGGAGUCGGCUGUGACUGUGACGCCCGGGACAAACGGCCAAAGGUGGGUGCACGA